GAGUUUGAUCAUGGCUCAGAUUGAACGCUGGCGGCAGGCCUAACACAUGCAAGUCGAACGGCAGCACAGAGGAGCUUGCUCCUUGGGUGGCGAGUGGCGGACGGGUGAGGAAUGCAUCGGAAUCUGCCUAUUUGUGGGGGAUAACGUAGGGAAACUUACGCUAAUACCGCAUACGUCCUACGGGAGAAAGUGGGGGACCUUCGGGCCUCACGCAGAUAGAUGAGCCGAUGCCGGAUUAGCUAGUUGGCGGGGUAAAGGCCCACCAAGGCGACGAUCCGUAGCUGGUCUGAGAGGAUGAUCAGCCACACUGGAACUGAGACACGGUCCAGACUCCUACGGGAGGCAGCAGUGGGGAAUAUUGGACAAUGGGCGCAAGCCUGAUCCAGCCAUGCCGCGUGUGUGAAGAAGGCCUUCGGUUGUAAG
Molecule: ribosomal RNA, 423 nt
Filed under: uncultured Gammaproteobacteria bacterium
Lineage: Bacteria; Pseudomonadati; Pseudomonadota; Gammaproteobacteria
Description: bacterial SSU rRNA
Rfam family: Bacterial small subunit ribosomal RNA
Source: RNAcentral